UACGAAGGGGGCUAGCGUUGUUCGGAAUUACUGGGCGUAAAGGGCGCGUAGGCGGUUAUACAAGUUAGGCGUGAAAGCCCUGGGCUCAACCCGGGAACUGCGUUUAAGACUGUAUGGCUUGAGUUUAGGAGAGGAUAGUGGAAUUCCAAGUGUAGAGGUGAAAUUCGUAGAUAUUUGGAGGAACACCAGUGGCGAAGGCGGCUAUCUGGCCAUAAACUGACGCUGAGGCGCGAUAGCGUGGGGAGCAAACAGG
Molecule: ribosomal RNA, 253 nt
Filed under: uncultured bacterium
Lineage: Bacteria
Description: partial 16S ribosomal RNA
Rfam family: Bacterial small subunit ribosomal RNA
Source: RNAcentral